UUUUGGAUAAAAAAAGGGAGAAGUAGCUGUAGAUGUAGCUGAGUAUCUUAGCUUAACUCUAUAGUAUCGUUGUUGCUCUAUUUGUCUGAUAUAGGGGGGGAAUUCUGGUGUUUAUUUGUUUGGUACAGGGGGAGAAUUCUCUGUGUUCUGUUUGUGUGAAGCAGUGUGAUUGUUGCUUGUUGUGGACUGGCUUAAGGGGGAGUUGUGUGAAGCAGUAGGGUUGUUGCUUGUU
RNAcentral lists this long non-coding RNA (232 nucleotides) under Lathyrus oleraceus (garden pea). RNAcentral describes it as "Pisum sativum (pea) long non-coding RNA (PSAT_LNC029187)". Lineage: Eukaryota; Viridiplantae; Streptophyta; Magnoliopsida; Fabales; Fabaceae. The record is from RNAcentral.